Molecule: ribosomal RNA, 484 nt
Filed under: uncultured bacterium
Lineage: Bacteria
Description: partial 16S ribosomal RNA
Rfam family: Bacterial small subunit ribosomal RNA
Source: RNAcentral
AGUGAACGCUGGCGGCGUGCUUAACACAUGCAAGUCGAACGAGAACGGAUUAUAGCUUGCUAUAAUUGUCAGCUAAGUGGCGCACGGGUGAGUAAUGCAUAGGUAAUAUGCCUCUUACUAAGGGAUAACAAAUGGAAACGUUUGCUAAUACCUUAUACUCCUUAUUAACAGAAGUUAAUAAGGGAAAGAUUUAUUGGUAAGAGAUUAGCCUGUAUUGUAUCAGUUAGUUGGUGGGGUAAUGGCUUACCAAGACUAUGACGCAUAACUGGUUUGAGAGGAUGAUCAGUCACACUGGAACUGAGACACGGUCCAGACUCCUACGGGAGGCAGCAGUGGGGAAUAUUGCACAAUGGACGAAAGUCUGAUGCAGCAACGCCGCGUGGAGGAUGACACAUUUCGGUGCGUAAACUCCUUUUAUAUGAGAAGAUAAUGACGGUAUUAUAUGAAUAAGCACCGGCUAACUCCGUGCCAGCCGCCGCAGUAA